CAGCCAAUCCGUCCACAGCCUCCCCUUAAGAGAGGAAAAAGGGCGCGGGGGGGCGGGGGGCUGUUGAGGGGAGAGAUGGAGUCAGAGGCCUGACAUGCCAGAUAGGUUCCAUGAUGUCUCUAGAUGAACCUCUCUCCUAUUGACGGUGAAACCAAUUCCAGCAAUUUCAGCAGGUCGGCCCUGUGACAACAGGGGCAUCCAGCGCUCAGUAUUUAAAACAAAAAUCCAAAGGCUCGCCCAGAACCUGCUGGGAAAACCCGGGGACUGAAUAAAACGAGCCACGCUCAGUGGGAUCCCUUCUGCUUUUAUGUAGCAAUGUAAUAGCGUAAUAAAUUCUUGUCUGCCUGGAGAAAGCAUGCACUGGUGAAUUUCAAAGCCAUCUUACAACAGCGGAGGCAUGGGGAUGCAGAAUUCGACCGCACAUUCCCCCCCAUGAAGGAAACAUAAUGACUUCAAGCCUCUUUCCCUCUAUCUUGAAUGGCGCUACCGCGUAUCUAGGAAGCCACGUCGAAAAGCAGCGAGGCCAAGAGGGGACUAAGAGGAGCAGAAUCACCUUGGGGAUGAAAGCAGCAAAGGCAGACACUAUGGGGGAAGCAUCUGGACACUGACCGUUCUCUGUGACAAUGACAUCAGUGUGGGAGCUGCCAUACUUGUGGAUGUGGUCAAUAGCAUCCUGAACGUUGUCCACUACUUCAAUGCAUAAUUCCAGGUCCCCAUACUCAGUUCGGAGUGACUUUACUUCGGAGGGGCUGAAGGUCAGAUAGGAGGCAAAUUUGGGGCCUGCG
Non-coding RNA from Callithrix jacchus (white-tufted-ear marmoset), 785 nucleotides. The record is from RefSeq and is a predicted model, not a curated record. NCBI's taxonomy places the organism in Eukaryota, Metazoa, Chordata, Mammalia, Primates, Cebidae.